UCAGGUCUAAGGACAAAGCAUAUAUGUUGUUUAAAAAGAGAACUACUUCUCGUGUUGGGUCAGUCCUAGCACAUGUCUCCAUAUGUGUCCACAUUAUUAGUUCAACAUCUCCAUGUCCAUGACUUGUGAAACAUAGUCAUCAACUAAUACAUGUGCUAGUCUAAUAUUCAUGUGUGUCCUCACAUGAACUCCGACUAGGGACAACUUUAGAAUAACCAUACAAGUAAAGAGUUUCACAUACAAUUCACAUAAUUGCCAAUCAAUUCAAGUAGCCUUCAAUGGAUAUUCAAUGAACAGAACAUACAAAUCAUGGAUACAAAUGGAAUAUCAUCAUCUCUAUGAUUGGCUCUAGGGCAUACCUCCAAUAGUCUCC
This 373-nucleotide long non-coding RNA is filed under the name Setaria viridis. Its description in RNAcentral is "long non-coding RNA (SVIR_LNC006975)". The record is from RNAcentral. Lineage: Eukaryota; Viridiplantae; Streptophyta; Magnoliopsida; Poales; Poaceae.